Long non-coding RNA from Ictalurus punctatus (channel catfish), 301 nucleotides. Lineage: Eukaryota; Metazoa; Chordata; Actinopteri; Siluriformes; Ictaluridae. The record is from Ensembl.
GGGAGGUGGUUUGUGUUCAGGUAGGGUAUGGGUUCGGGGAGGUGGUUUGUGUUCAGGUAGGGUAUGGGUUCGGGGAGGUGCUUUGUGUUCGGGGAGGUGGUUUGUAUGCAGGUAGAUUCGUGUUAGGGAAGGUUAUUUGCCUCCACACAAUUCACAGAGCUCACAUUCUGUUCGUCGCGACCUAAAUAUAAAUUCUGAUGACUGUACAAACUAACCGCAGUCUGGCAAUUAUGUAACGAUCAGCACAGGCUUAGUUACAUCUUGAGAACACAUGAGCUUUGAUUCAUGCAAGAUUUAACAU